This 349-nucleotide ribosomal RNA is filed under the name uncultured Pseudomonas sp. Its description in RNAcentral is "bacterial SSU rRNA". It matches the Rfam family "Bacterial small subunit ribosomal RNA", at positions 1034 to 1382 of the family's 1533-position model. Lineage: Bacteria; Pseudomonadati; Pseudomonadota; Gammaproteobacteria; Pseudomonadales; Pseudomonadaceae. The record is from RNAcentral.
ACAGGUGCUGCAUGGCUGUCGUCAGCUCGUGUCGUGAGAUGUUGGGUUAAGUCCCGUAACGAGCGCAACCCUUGUCCUUAGUUACCAGCACGUUAUGUGGGCACUCUAAGGAGACUGCCGGUGACAAACCGGAGGAAGGUGGGGAGUGACGUCAAGUCAUCAUGGCCCUUGCGGCCUGGGCUACACACGUGCUACAAUGGUCGGUACAAAGGGUUGCCAAGCCGCGAGGUGGAGCUAAUCCCAUAAAACCGAUCGUAGUCCGGAUCGCAGUCUGCAACUCGACUGCGUGAAGUCGGAAUCGCUAGUAAUCGUGAAUCAGAAUGUCACGGUGAAUACGUUCCCGGGCCUU